RNAcentral lists this long non-coding RNA (4043 nucleotides) under Homo sapiens (human). RNAcentral describes it as "HSALNT0304295". Lineage: Eukaryota; Metazoa; Chordata; Mammalia; Primates; Hominidae. The record is from RNAcentral.
UGUGGAAUCCUCCCACUGGCCUGUUAUCUCCCCCUUAAUUUCUGGGGCAAAUUGCAUUAAAUGCUUUCCUUCCUCCCACAGUGGGCCAGGCAGGAGAGAGGCUGUUAGCUGCAGGCUAGGGAGUGUAGCCCCGGAUUCUCACCUGGCAACCCCAGUAAUGAGCACUGCAGAGACAGCCACAGACACCCUUAUUGACCAGGAAGAAGUCAGGAGCCCAAAGGCAGAGAACCAAGGGCUGCGGGCCUGGAGGGAACCCAGGGAAGCCUAGACAGCCAGAGGCAGGCAGGCAAUUAAAGGAGGGGGUGGAGUUUUCAAUUAACAGCUCUUCUGCUAGAAGCAGGUAAUUAACGGAUUAGCAAGGCUGUUAGCAAGGCUGCUUGCUGCCAGUGAGGAACCUGGCAGGUGCUGCCUUGGAGAAGGAGGACCAGGCUCCAGAUUCCACAGGAAGGAAAGGACUCUUCGGAGGCAGGAUCCUGAGGGCAGCUGAGAGUCAUGGGACUCAGCAGGGACACAGUGAGCAGGCUGGAAGGGCGGGAGGCAGGCCAGAGGGGAUGGGGCAGUAUAAUCCCACUGUCCCCUGGCCUCGCAGGGUCCCUGGUUUGCAGAGCCCUCUUUGCCUGGGAUGGGCUAAGGAGGCAGUGUAUGAGAAUAUCUGGGGGUCAUGGUGUUGACACCCCUGGAAUUGGCACAUUACCACAGAGCUCACACGUUUUCACAGUGGUUUAGGGGGGAAGCUGCAUAAGGCGGGGCUGACAGCAAGGACUUUGACAUUAGACACGCUUCAGUUAAGCCUCGCUCCCACUUCCCAAUCUAGGGGACUAGGGGAUCCUCAGACAGCCCAGAUGUUCCUCAGACUACUCAGCACCUUUCUAGUUAGGCAGGAUCAUGCCAAAUUCUAAAGAAGCCAGUACGCACCUCCAUCUGUGUCUUCCCCUGCCAGGGAGUUGGCAGAGGCCACUGUUCCAGACAGCAGAGCCUCAAUCAGCCUGAAUCCCUGAGCGACCUGCAUGGAGCAGAUUCCCUCGCCAGCCCCCAUGAGUGGGAGUGAGAGUCCAGAGAUCUGCUGGGGGAUGGUGUGAGCCCAAAGAAGCCGAUUUCCUUCUUGAAGGGGGUGAGAAGAAGGGAGACUGUGACUUGACCAAGCCAAUCGGCAAACUACCUUCCCUCCCAACAGAAGUUGAUUUGUUCAGGAGGGGGCAUGUGACAAAAGCUGGGCCACUCAGAGCCCAUCUAAGGACUUCACUGAAAUGCUGACAUAAAGCAGCCACUUGUGCCACAGGGGGAAAGCCAGCCUCAAAUGAAACUGUCUCACAAAGAAAUAGAGAUGAAUGACUUGUAGAGAACUGGAAACAGAAACAAAAUGAAACUUGCAGAGAAAAUAUUGCAAGUAAAUGUUGAACCUCUGGAUCGAACCAUGCCUGAGUCCCUCCUGGCUCUGACUUUUCAGUUAGAUCUCCAAGAGGACCCUCCUGCCUCUGCUUCUCUUCCUCCCCUGAAGUCAAUUUUGCAGUGUGCUGGUCAGCCUCAUCCAGCCCCUCUUUUCUGGGAACUGCUCUAACUCGAUGGCUGGAUUGACUGGCCAAGAGACAGACAUCAGGGUGAGCUGGAUCAUCAGACAGUCUCUCCUAGGAAUGUGAAAUACGAAUUCAGAGAGGCUGGCAGCCCAUUGUUCACGGGAAUGCAGAAGCUGUGAGGCUGAGAAACCCCUUUCCAUCCAGAGGGAAAGAAGGGUCCAGUUUCCUCUGAAGUUUGCAAGGACACAUGGAAGGUCAGCAGAAACUUGGCCAUCUCAGUGUCCUGGUGGGUGAUUUUUACGAGGAUUUCUCAUCACAGAGGAUGGGAACCCAAAGGAGAAUGGCCGCCAUUGGAGCCUUUCCUGUCCCUCCACUGCCCAGAACAACUGAACUCUGUGUCAGUUGGGCUGCAAGUAAAGAAAACUCAACUAAUGGAGGCCUCAUUGAACAGGAGUUCAUUUUACUCACGUAACAAACCUAUGUGGUCCCAGGAUUGUCUCACGGCCCAGUAAAGGCAAAGCAUGGCGUUAGCAAGUCUGAGAUGUUCUUGAAUUUCCCCCCAUUGCUGCAAGAUGGCCCCUACAGCUCCAAACAUCACAUCCUCAAUGGUGAAUAAAGCUGAUCUCCAACUGGGAAGAACUUCUGUCUCCUGGUGUGGUGAAGGCUGUUGGAGCAUCUGCAGGAGCAUCCAAACCCUGUGCUAUUGGGGUAGUCCAUGCCCUUCAAGCCAGUCAUGGCUUUCCUGUUUCCUCUGUCAAAUACUGGCUAAGGAUAGGUCUGUGAUGCAAUUCUGGCCAGUGAGACAUGAUGGAAGAGCUGCUGGGUGAAAUUCUGGGAAAAGUUCCCUUACUCUUUAAAAGAUGGAUCCAGGAGAAGAGAGUCUCUUUUGCUGGGUGUUGUCAUAUCUGGAGGUGAUGCCUGGAACUGUGGCAGCUGUCUUGUGAUUAUGAGGGAAGCUGGCCUGAAAACAGACUGGCCCACUGAAGAGGAGGGCAGCAUGGAAUGUGGAAUAAACCUGGGUCCCUGUUGGCUUCCUGCGGCCCUGAUCUAACCAGCCCUGAGCUGUCCUACCUCUGCACUGCUUGGCACAGGAGACACAUCUUGAUUGUUUAAGCCCCUUUGAGUUGGGUUUUCUGUUCCUUGCAGCUGACAGCACUCUAACCAAUCCACACAUUUCCCUCUGCUCGAUUUCCUGCUCCAGAGAGACAGGCACAGACCAGUACCGGGCAGCCCCACUCUGGGGAAAAACAACAGUGCUUAUUGUUUGCCGGCACAGUGGGAGCUCUGCCUCCUGGCACAGUGGGAGCUCUGCCUCCUGUGGCAGGCUGGCCAUUCCAAAACCACACUGCCUGCCACUGCCAUAAAGAGGCCAGGACUGUGUUCAAAACCCCAGGCAGCAGGAGGAGUGGUUUGUGGGAGGUGUUGUGGUAGUGCAUAAAGGAAGGUCAUUUCCUGACCCUCAGAACCCACACUGCCCUCAGCCCCACACAGCCCUACCCAGCCCAGCAUCGCCCCCAGUGCCCCUGGAGACAAUAAUGGCAGCCACCCACUGGCUGCUCCUGUGCGGGCAGGGCAGGAAAGCUGGUGGUUAAGUGCUGGAGAACCCCCAGGCCCUGGGGCUUGGCCGGAAAGGAUUUCUGUAGAGACAGCGUGGACAUUCUGUCCUCUGCAGGCCGCCUGGUACAGGAUGAAAACAGGCCGGCUCAGUACUUUUUUGGCAACCGAUUAUAUAGAUUUGCAUCCACAUGAGCUCCCUCUUGCAAUGACCCAGACCCCCACGAGGGCUCUCCCCACAGUCAUUUGUGUUGAGAACGCUCUGAGCCCUUGAGCCUCCUUCCUCUCUGGGAAAGGGACUUUUUGGCAGUGAGAAGGACCUGGAGGGAGGCACUUCUGGAGGCAUUUCCUUUCUGGGAGGAAAUGCUCCAGGGCUCUCCUCCAUCCACCAACAGCCUCCAAGUUGAGUAAGUGGCAGCGAAGGUCACGCCUGAGCUGGCAGCCAUGGAACCUCACCUCCUGCUUUUCCAGCUUCGUUCCCAAAGACGUCCCUCCACGAGCUUGUGCUCAUGCCAUGCCUCUGCUGGAAGCCCUUGCUGUCUGCAGGUGGCGAUGUGACCCGGGCCUGGCCCUGGGGAUUUGUUCAGGCGUGUCACUCUUUCUGACCAAAGGGGACCAGCCUUGGGGCUUUUGUGGAAACCUCUGAGAAAGGGAGGUCCACAAUUCUGGUUUCCUAGCUGGAGAGAAUACGCCUGGCCCUGCUGGCAACCAUCUUUCCCACCCAAGGGAGUCAGCCUGGACAUUUUAGUCACUUGAGUCAAUAAAUUCUGUUUGCAAAGAAAAAAAAAAUCGCUUUGAGCCGGGCUUUCUGUGGCUUACAGUGGAAACUCAUUAGUAAUAUAAAUGCAGAUAUCCCUCUUAGGCCAAAGUAAUCUCUCCUUUCUUGCUUGCUCUAUACCACACACACCUGCUUCAUUGGCAUUUACUGUUUCCCCACCUGCACGGGUGACCUUAGCCCCCCUGCACAAAGGCCUG